Molecule: long non-coding RNA, 408 nt
Organism: Ornithodoros turicata
Lineage: Eukaryota; Metazoa; Arthropoda; Arachnida; Ixodida; Argasidae
Exons: 3
Source: RefSeq, a predicted model, not a curated record
CAAAGUGAGACCACAUGCUCCUGUUCCACGAUGCCCCAUCAGUGGUCACUACAUCUACCAGGAGUCCUGCAUUCUCAAGUAGGAUGAUGCACUCGAGGACAAGUUUGUGCAGUACAUUUCCUGGUGCACUGCCCUUGCUGAGGAAGCAUGCCAAGGCCUGAACCCACUUGCCCCUGAAAGGCUGGAACAUGAAGACCAGGGCGUGGUCUCCCUUCUUGCUCUUCUGGGACUCUGGCAUCAGGAACACAUUUGCUUGCACUCUACAUGAUUAAAAUAACAGCCCAGAACCAAGUGCAGUCAAGCACCAAGCUGCCCACAGUGCUGCCAAGUGGCUGCCCACAAGAGCACUUCACAAAGGAGGAAGAAGAAACCUAUUUGAUGUUUUACUUUCAAUAAACUAGCGAAACU